This 2895-nucleotide unclassified non-coding RNA is filed under the name Hevea brasiliensis (rubber tree). The record is from RNAcentral. Lineage: Eukaryota; Viridiplantae; Streptophyta; Magnoliopsida; Malpighiales; Euphorbiaceae.
CAUAAAACUCUUCAACUGCCAAACCUUCCAAUCUCCAACGGCACUGAAACGCUCACUAAGCUUUACCAUGUCAAGUAGCAGCCUCUACUCACCUUCUUUCCUCUCUUCUCCCCUACCUAAAAUUUCUUUGUCUUUCCUCUCUCCUUCAUUGUUCUCUCCAUCCCCACUCUUCCCAUCAAAUCCUUUCUUUUCCCUCCAAAUCCCUCGCUCUUCUCCCUCCCUUUUCAAGUUGACCUCCCACAAUUCCUUCGCUAACACCCACAUUGAUGAAUUCCAAGACGACGAAGCCGAUACAGAGUUUGAUGAGUCUGACACCGAGGACUACCCGAUUGAUAUCGAGGAGCUCCAAGAGGAAGCCGAAGACGCUGUUAGGGAGUACUCUACCUCUUUGUCUCGCCAAUUGAGAAUCGAGGAUGAAACUGGUGAUAGAAAGGAAACCAGAAAGCAGAAGAGGCAAAAAACGACUACUUCAGAAAUCCCCGACAAUCUCCUUCCUAGGGUUGCAAUUGUUGGGAGGCCAAAUGUUGGCAAAUCAGCAUUGUUCAACUGUCUUGUUGGGGGCAACAGGGCAAUUGUGGUGGACGAACCUGGUGUUACUCGGGAUCGUUUGUAUGGUCGAUCCUUUUGGGGAGAAUAUGAGUUUAUGGUGGUGGAUACUGGAGGUGUUCUUACCAUAUCAAACUCACAAGCUAAUGUUAUGGAAGAAUUGGCUAUAACAACUACUAUUGGCAUGGAUGGAAUUCCACUUGCCUCCAGGGAGGCCGCUGUUGCCAGGAUGCCCUCGAUGAUUGAGAGACAAGCUACUGCAGCUGUGGAAGAAUCAUCUGUUAUUAUAUUCCUUGUUGAUGGCCAGGCAGGUCUAACAGCAGCUGAUGUGGAGAUAGCAGACUGGUUAAGAAAAAACUACUCCAAUAAGUUUGUCAUUCUUGCAGUGAACAAGUGUGAAUCUCCCCGUAAAGGAAUCAUGCAAGCAUCAGAAUUCUGGUCACUGGGGUGAGUUGUUAUCUGUUUUCUCUCUCUUAAAUUGUGGGCCUUCAUCAUUGGUGAGUGCAUACAAGUCGUCUCUUUGAUAGAAUGAGUAAUCUAAGAAUUCAACAUGAUCCAGCUUUUGUUAACAGUAUGAGUUUUAUUUUUUGCAAAUUUGAUUAUGAUAAGCAGACCAUGCACUUUUUGGUUGGUGAACCAGGUUCUCACCACUUCCUAUUUCUGCUUUAUCUGGGACGGGAACUGGAGAGCUUUUAGAUCUUGUAUGUUCCCAACUGGCAAAAAUUGAGGGUUUGCAAAAUUUUGAUGAAGAACAAAAUUAUGUUCCUGCAAUUGCAAUUGUUGGCAAACCAAAUGUUGGAAAAAGUAGCAUUUUGAAUGCUUUGGUUGGAGAAGAUAGAACAAUUGUCAGCCCAAUCAGUGGUACUACUCGUGAUGCAAUUGAUACUGAAUUUUCAGGACCAGAUGGCCAGAAGUUUCGGCUUAUUGAUACAGCUGGAAUCAGAAGAAGGGCAGCUGUAGCUUCAUCAGGUAGUCUGACAGAGGCUCUAUCAGUGAAUCGAGCAUUUCGUGCCAUCCGCCGUUCUGAUGUUAUUGCUCUUGUCAUAGAGGCCCUGGCAUGUAUCACAGAACAGGUACUUCAUUUGUAGCUUUUAGCAGAACAGGCUCUGACAUAUUUUUCAAUCUUCAAGUAGGCAUUUUCACUUUCUUGUGGCAUGAAACUUAUUUAUACUAUAUGCAAAGAACAGAUCCGGACAUGAAUUUGCCAAAAUACACAUUAAUGAGAAUGUGGCAGCUGUGUGGGAGCCGGGAGGCUGUUAAAGUUGUCAAUUUGUAUGGGUUCUUAGUUAUUCUUAUUAUUCCUAGUACUGUGUUUUCUUUUCUCAGCAUCUUUCGGUGAACUUGAUACCAAUUCUCUGUAGUCUUUUUCUCCUUUUAUUUAUUUAUUUGCUUUGGUCCCUCAUUUGCCUAAAUACUGUAGGAUUGUAGAAUUGCUGAAAGGAUUGAAAAAGAAGGGAAGGGCUGCCUGAUUGUUGUAAACAAAUGGGAUACAAUACCCAAUAAAAACCAGCAAACUGCAAUACACUAUGAAGAAGAUGUCAGGGAGAAGCUUCGUAUUCUUCAUUGGGCUCCUAUUGUUUAUUCAACUGCAAUUGCUGGUCAUAAUGUUGAAAAGAUCAUUGUUGCUGCUAGUGCCGUUGACAAGGAAAGAUCAAGAAGAUUAAGUACGUCCAUACUGAAUGAAGUGGUACAAGAAGCAUUAGCUUUUAAAUCUCCUCCAAGAACCCGAGGUGGAAAGAGAGGACGUGUUUACUACUGCACUCAGGCAGCUAUCAGGCCACCUACAUUUGUUUUUUUCGUGAAUGAUGCAAGACUCUUUCCUGAGACUUACCGGCGCUAUAUGGAGAAACAACUGAGAUCAAAUGCAGGAUUUUCUGGUACGCCCAUUCGUCUACUCUGGCGCAGCAGAAGAAAAAUGGAAAAAAGUGAAGUCAAGGGUGCAACAAGAACACAACUUAAUCUUACUCCAGGUGGCUGAAAAUGGGUAUUAAAUUACAGGAAAGAUACAGUAGUCGUUCAACAGUUAACUAAAGUUAGAAUUUCUUGCCCGUCAGAACUUUCCUUUGGGAAUAGUUUGUACAGACUGAUAACAUUGCUCCGCAUGAACCCUGAGUUGUAUAAUUCUCGAGGAGAAUCACAAGAUACUUGUGUAUCCUUACCUUUUUGUCUUGUUAUGAGCUGUUAAGCCAUGGCCAAUGAAGGAAGGAGAUUGGCAAGUCAUGUAUUUCAAAUAAAUUUGUGUUAACUGAUAACUAUGACGAUUAUGUGUCAGAAUCUGAAGCUAAUACGUGUGGAUUUUGUAGAUUGACUUCGUUAUGAUAUCAACCUAUUCUAAAAUUUUGGGAAGAG